AAGUGUAGGGGUGGUUAAGAAAGG
RNAcentral lists this non-coding RNA (24 nucleotides) under Cricetulus griseus (Chinese hamster). Lineage: Eukaryota; Metazoa; Chordata; Mammalia; Rodentia; Cricetidae. The record is from RNAcentral.